Molecule: small nucleolar RNA, 201 nt
Organism: Sorex fumeus (smoky shrew)
Lineage: Eukaryota; Metazoa; Chordata; Mammalia; Eulipotyphla; Soricidae
Product: small nucleolar RNA SNORA73 family
Exons: 1
Source: RefSeq, a predicted model, not a curated record
CCAACAUGGAUACCCUGGGAGAUCACUCUCCCUGGGCACUGUCCAGGUGGCGCAGAGGAGCACAGGGCUCUGUCCUGUGUUGUAAAAUCCCUUUCCACACUACUGGAGAUCAAACCAGGCCUUGAGUCUGCACCUGCAUAUUCCUGCAGCUUCUCAGAGACCUCUGAACAAUGACUGGGGAGACAAUGCAGGAAAACAGUU